This 1369-nucleotide ribosomal RNA is filed under the name uncultured bacterium. RNAcentral describes it as "bacterial SSU rRNA". It matches the Rfam family "Bacterial small subunit ribosomal RNA", at positions 28 to 1381 of the family's 1533-position model. The record is from RNAcentral.
GACGAACGCUGGCGGCGUGCCUAAUACAUGCAAGUAGAACGCUGAAGAGAGGAGCUUGCUCUUCUUGGAUGAGUUGCGAACGGGUGAGUAACGCGUAGGUAACCUGCCUUGUAGCGGGGGAUAACUAUUGGAAACGAUAGCUAAUACCGCAUAACAAUGGAUGACACAUGUCAUUUAUUUGAAAGGGGCAAUUGCUCCACUACAAGAUGGACCUGCGUUGUAUUAGCUAGUAGGUGAGGUAACGGCUCACCUAGGCGACGAUACAUAGCCGACCUGAGAGGGUGAUCGGCCACACUGGGACUGAGACACGGCCCAGACUCCUACGGGAGGCAGCAGUAGGGAAUCUUCGGCAAUGGGGGCAACCCUGACCGAGCAACGCCGCGUGAGUGAAGAAGGUUUUCGGAUCGUAAAGCUCUGUUGUAAGUCAAGAACGAGUGUGAGAGUGGAAAGUUCACACUGUGACGGUAGCUUACCAGAAAGGGACGGCUAACUACGUGCCAGCAGCCGCGGUAAUACGUAGGUCCCGAGCGUUGUCCGGAUUUAUUGGGCGUAAAGCGAGCGCAGGCGGUUUGAUAAGUCUGAAGUUAAAGGCUGUGGCUCAACCAUAGUUCGCUUUGGAAACUGUCAAACUUGAGUGCAGAAGGGGAGAGUGGAAUUCCAUGUGUAGCGGUGAAAUGCGUAGAUAUAUGGAGGAACACCGGUGGCGAAAGCGGCUCUCUGGUCUGUAACUGACGCUGAGGCUCGAAAGCGUGGGGAGCGAACAGGAUUAGAUACCCUGGUAGUCCACGCCGUAAACGAUGAGUGCUAGGUGUUGGAUCCUUUCCGGGAUUCAGUGCCGCAGCUAACGCAUUAAGCACUCCGCCUGGGGAGUACGACCGCAAGGUUGAAACUCAAAGGAAUUGACGGGGGCCCGCACAAGCGGUGGAGCAUGUGGUUUAAUUCGAAGCAACGCGAAGAACCUUACCAGGUCUUGACAUCCCGAUGCUAUUUCUAGAGAUAGAAAGUUACUUCGGUACAUCGGUGACAGGUGGUGCAUGGUUGUCGUCAGCUCGUGUCGUGAGAUGUUGGGUUAAGUCCCGCAACGAGCGCAACCCCUAUUGUUAGUUGCCAUCAUUCAGUUGGGCACUCUAGCGAGACUGCCGGUAAUAAACCGGAGAAAGGUGGGGAUGACGUCAAAUCAUCAUGCCCCUUAUGACCUGGGCUACACACGUGCUACAAUGGUUGGUACAACGAGUUGCGAGUCGGUGACGGCAAGCUAAUCUCUUAAAGCCAAUCUCAGUUCGGAUUGUAGGCUGCAACUCGCCUACAUGAAGUCGGAAUCGCUAGUAAUCGCGGAUCAGCACGCCGCGGUGAAUACGUUCCCGGGCCU